GCUCGUCAGUAGUUUAACGGAUAGAGCAGCGCUCCCGGAAAGGGUGAGGUACGGGUUCUAAUCCCACCUGAAGCA
Parelaphostrongylus tenuis is the source of this 75-nucleotide non-coding RNA. Lineage: Eukaryota; Metazoa; Nematoda; Chromadorea; Rhabditida; Metastrongylidae. The record is from the annotation of a GenBank genome assembly.